This 495-nucleotide ribosomal RNA is filed under the name uncultured bacterium. Its description in RNAcentral is "partial 16S ribosomal RNA". It matches the Rfam family "Bacterial small subunit ribosomal RNA", at positions 28 to 505 of the family's 1533-position model. The record is from RNAcentral.
GAUGAACGCUGGCGGCGUGCCUAAUACAUGCAAGUCGAGCGAACAGACGAGGAGCUUGCUCCUCUGACGUUAGCGGCGGACGGGUGAGUAACACGUGGAUAACCUACCUAUAAGACUGGGAUAACUUCGGGAAACCGGAGCUAAUACCGGAUAAUAUAUUGAACCGCAUGGUUCAAUAGUGAAAGACGGUUUUGCUGUCACUUAUAGAUGGAUCCGCGCCGCAUUAGCUAGUUGGUAAGGUAACGGCUUACCAAGGCGACGAUGCGUAGCCGACCUGAGAGGGUGAUCGGCCACACUGGAACUGAGACACGGUCCAGACUCCUACGGGAGGCAGCAGUAGGGAAUCUUCCGCAAUGGGCGAAAGCCUGACGGAGCAACGCCGCGUGAGUGAUGAAGGUCUUCGGAUCGUAAAACUCUGUUAUUAGGGAAGUACAAAUGUGUAAGUAACUAUGCACGUCGUGACGGUACCUAAUCAGAAAGCCACGGCUAACUACG